AUACGGAGGGGGCUAGCGUUGUUCGGAAUUACUGGGCGUAAAGCGCGCGUAGGCGGAUUGAUCAGUCAGGGGUGAAAUCCCGAGGCUUAACCUCGGAACUGCCUUUGAUACUGUCAAUCUUGAGUUCGAGAGAGGUGAGUGGAAUUCCUAGUGUAGAGGUGAAAUUCAUAGAUAUUAGGAAGAACACCAGUGGCGAAGGCGGCUCACUGGCUCGAUUCUGACGCUGAGGUGCGAAAGCGUGGGGAGCAAACAGGAUUAGAAACCCCAGUAGUCC
This 274-nucleotide ribosomal RNA is filed under the name uncultured bacterium. RNAcentral's name for it is "partial 16S ribosomal RNA". It matches the Rfam family "Bacterial small subunit ribosomal RNA", at positions 523 to 796 of the family's 1533-position model. The record is from RNAcentral.